This 70-nucleotide transfer RNA is filed under the name Phrynosoma platyrhinos (Desert horned lizard). RNAcentral describes it as "tRNA-OTHER". It matches the Rfam family "tRNA". Rfam says of the family: Transfer RNA (tRNA) molecules are approximately 80 nucleotides in length. Their secondary structure includes four short double-helical elements and three loops (D, anti-codon, and T loops). The record is from RNAcentral. Lineage: Eukaryota; Metazoa; Chordata; Lepidosauria; Squamata; Phrynosomatidae.
GGUUUUGGCAUAGUGGUUUGAGCACUGGACUACAACUCUGGAGACCAGGGUUCAAUUCCCUGCUCAGCUA